UACGGAGGAUGCAAGCGUUAUCCGGAAUGAUUGGGCGUAAAGCGUCCGCAGGUGGCUGUGUAAGUCUGCUGUUAAAGAGUCUAGCUCAACUAGAUAAAAGCAGUGGAAACUACACGGCUAGAGUACGUUCGGGGCAGAGGGAAUUCCUGGUGUAGCGGUGAAAUGCGUAGAUAUCUGGAGGAACACCGGUGGCGAAGGCGGCAUCCUGGACCAAUAUUGACGCUGAGGAGCGAAAGCUAGGGGAGCAAACGGG
This 253-nucleotide ribosomal RNA is filed under the name uncultured bacterium. RNAcentral describes it as "partial 16S ribosomal RNA". It matches the Rfam family "Bacterial small subunit ribosomal RNA", at positions 524 to 776 of the family's 1533-position model. The record is from RNAcentral.